AUUGAACGCUGGCGGCAGGCCUAACACAUGCAAGUCGAGCGGAUGAAGGGAGCUUGCUCCUGGAUUCAGCGGCGGACGGGUGAGUAAUGCCUAGGAAUCUGCCUGGUAGUGGGGGAUAACGUCCGGAAACGGGCGCUAAUACCGCAUACGUCCUGAGGGAGAAAGUGGGGGAUCUUCGGACCUCACGCUAUCAGAUGAGCCUAGGUCGGAUUAGCUAGUUGGUGGGGUAAAGGCCUACCAAGGCGACGAUCCGUAACUGGUCUGAGAGGAUGAUCAGUCUCACUGGAACUGAGACACGGUCCAGACUCCUACGGGAGGCAGCAGUGGGGAAUAUUGGACAAUGGACGAAAGCCUGAUCCAGCCAUGCCGCGUGUGUGAAGAAGGUCUUCGGAUUGUAAAGCACUUUAAGUUGGGAGGAAGGGCAGUAAGUUAAUACCUUGCUGUUUUGACGUUACCAACAGAAUAAGCACCGGCUAACUUCGUG
Molecule: ribosomal RNA, 484 nt
Filed under: uncultured bacterium
Lineage: Bacteria
Description: partial 16S ribosomal RNA
Rfam family: Bacterial small subunit ribosomal RNA
Source: RNAcentral